Molecule: non-coding RNA, 1131 nt
Organism: Agelaius phoeniceus (red-winged blackbird)
Lineage: Eukaryota; Metazoa; Chordata; Aves; Passeriformes; Icteridae
Source: RefSeq, a predicted model, not a curated record
AAACCUCCCAGCAGAGCCAGAUUGCAGUGGAGGCCAGAGUUGUGUUUGGAGCAGGGAGUGCUGAGAGCUGCGUCUGCCUGUGCUGCCACAGCCUGACCACAGCCACAGGGAACAGCCUGGGAAAAGGGAUUGGGGGAAUUGCUGAUGCCCCAGUGAGAAGAACACAAACUCACAGCCAUUCAGCCUGACAGUCCCCUCCACCCAGAGCUCAGCACACAUCCUCAGAGCAGCCAGCAGGGAAGGGAGAAGAGGAUCCCUGUGGGAUGAGGCUGGAGAGAGCAAGCAGAGGAGCAGCCUCGGGCUGGAGAAAGGCAAAGGGACCAACAUGGUGUCACCAGGGCACCUGUGAGGAACAGAAUGGACACUUGGAGGCCCCAUGGAGGAAAGGGAUCUGCAUCUCUGUCUUCAGCACACCUCCAGUGGGACCUACCUGUGAAAGCUUUCCAUGACAUCUGCACUUCCAGCUGGAUCCCUGGAAAACUCCAAACUCCAUCCCACUGAUUUUCAGGAGCUUCUGGCCUCCUGCUGCCCUGCACUCCCAGCCAGCUGGGACACACUGAGGGAACACCAAGGAGCAUCACUGGCAGCAAACAGGAGAGACACCAAGGCCUCUGGGCCAGAAAAACAGCCCUGGCCUCAGCAGCCAUCAUCGUUUUGACCUGGCAACACUCACCUGCAGGAAACGCCCCCUGCCACAGAGCAAGGUGACCCUCAGGACUUGUCUUGUUCCUGGGGAAACAAAGGGACAUUGUGUGAGCACAUUUACAGCUGCUGGGUAAAUCCUGGAAAGGGCAGAAAAAUCAGGGUUAUGGGGAAGAGUUUGGUGCUGACAUGUUGAGUGCCAGCCAGUUCUGCCCUACAGCCAUUGCAGGGGCUGGUGUGUAAAGCAGCAUUAGCAGAAGGGAAGGAGCUGCAUUUGUAGAGGAGUUCUCUUACUGGCAGCAGUCAUUCCCAUCCCUCACAGGACCUUUGGAACAACCCUGGGAUUGGCUCAGGUAUUUGGAGCAGUGUACUGAGAAGCCCAAAAUUCUGUGUUCAAUGUGCAGCUGGGCCAGUCACUUCUCAGCAUUUGACUCGAUGAUCCUCACGGCUCUGGAAAUAAAGAACAAAUAAUUUUCACUGUUUUUUUAA